GGAUCUUCGGUAAUAAAGUUUGGUAUUAUUUCAUAUCUUUCUCUAAUACUUUGUUCUAAUUGCAUUAUGUCUCUAUUUAUUAUGCUCCUAGUUUUCUCUAGUUCUAUAUUUGAUAUAGUUAUGAUUGAUAAUAUGUUUAUGUAUAAGUUUGCAAAGCGUUUAGCUCUUGACACGUGGGAGUUAAGUGGUAGAUCAUAUGUAGGCGUGGUGCUUAGAUAUUAUUUAACUGCAAAUGUA
This 237-nucleotide long non-coding RNA is filed under the name Sorghum bicolor (sorghum). Its description in RNAcentral is "long non-coding RNA (SBIC_LNC009930)". The record is from RNAcentral. Lineage: Eukaryota; Viridiplantae; Streptophyta; Magnoliopsida; Poales; Poaceae.